This 253-nucleotide ribosomal RNA is filed under the name uncultured bacterium. RNAcentral's name for it is "partial 16S ribosomal RNA". It matches the Rfam family "Bacterial small subunit ribosomal RNA", at positions 524 to 776 of the family's 1533-position model. The record is from RNAcentral.
UACGGGGGGGGCAAGCGUUGUUCGGAAUUACUGGGCGUAAAGGGCUCGUAGGCGGCCAACUAAGUCAGACGUGAAAUCCCUCGGCUUAACCGGGGAACUGCAUCUGAUACUGGAUGGCUUGAGAUUGGGAGAGGGAUGCGGAAUUCCAGGUGUAGCGGUGAAAUUCGUAGAUAUUGGGAAGAACACCGGUGGCGAAGGCGGCGACCUGGUCCGUGACUGACGCUGAGGCGCGAAAGCGUGGGGAGCAAACAGG